AGAGCGAACGCUGGCGGCAGGCCUAACACAUGCAAGUCGAACGGACUCUUCGGAGUUAGUGGCGGACGGGUGAGUAACACGUGGGAACGUGCCUUUAGGUUCGGAAUAGCUCCUGGAAACGGGUGGUAAUACCGAAUGUGCCCUUCGGGGGAAAGAUUUAUCGCCUUUAGAGCGGCCCGCGUCUGAUUAGCUUGUUGGUGAGGUAAUGGCUCACCAAGGCUACGAUCAGUAGCUGGUCUGAGAGGAUGACCAGCCACAUUGGGACUGAGACACGGCCCAAACUCCUACGGGAGGCAGCAGUGGGGAAUCUUGCGCAAUGGGCGAAAGCCUGACGCAGCCAUGCCGCGUGUAUGAUAGGAAGGUCUUAGGUAUUAGUAAAAUUACGUUUACACCGGU
RNAcentral lists this ribosomal RNA (396 nucleotides) under uncultured soil bacterium. RNAcentral describes it as "bacterial SSU rRNA". It matches the Rfam family "Bacterial small subunit ribosomal RNA", at positions 26 to 445 of the family's 1533-position model. The record is from RNAcentral.